UACAGAGGUCCCAAGCGUUGUUCGGAUUCACUGGGCGUAAAGGGUGCGUAGGCGGUCGGGUAAGUCUGGCGUGAAAUCUCCAAGCCUAACUUGGAAACUGCGUUGGAUACUAUCCGGCUCGAGGAAUGGAGGGGAGAGUGGAAUUCCCGGUGUAGCGGUGAAAUGCGCAGAUAUCGGGAGGAACACCGGUGGCGAAGGCGGUUCUCUGGGCCUGUUCUGACGCUGAGGAGCGAAAGCGUGGGGAGCGAACAGG
This 253-nucleotide ribosomal RNA is filed under the name uncultured bacterium. RNAcentral's name for it is "partial 16S ribosomal RNA". It matches the Rfam family "Bacterial small subunit ribosomal RNA", at positions 524 to 776 of the family's 1533-position model. The record is from RNAcentral.